Molecule: ribosomal RNA, 533 nt
Filed under: Arsenophonus endosymbiont of Bemisia tabaci
Lineage: Bacteria; Pseudomonadati; Pseudomonadota; Gammaproteobacteria; Enterobacterales; Morganellaceae
Description: partial 23S ribosomal RNA
Rfam family: Bacterial large subunit ribosomal RNA
Source: RNAcentral
CGAGGCGAACCGGGGAAACUGAAACAUCUCAGUACCCCGAGGAAAAGAAAUCAACCGAGAUUCCCCCAGUAGCGGCGAGCGAACGGGGAGCAGCCCAGAGUCAACAUCAAUAUUUACCACAGGAGAAGGGUCUGGAAAGGCCGGCAAUAAAGGGUGAUAGCCCCGUAUCUAAAGCGGUAAGUGUUGUGAACUCGAAGAGUAGGGCGGGACACGUGUUAUCCUGUCUGAAUAUGGGGGACCAUCCUCCAAGGCUAAAUACUCCUGACUGACCGAUAGUGAACCAGUACCGUGAGGGAAAGGCGAAAAGAACCCCGGCGAGGGGAGUGAAAUAGAACCUAAAACCGUGUACGUACAAGCAGUAGGAGCACCCGAAAGGGUGUGACUGCGUACCUUUUGUAUAAUGGGUCAGCGACUUAUAUUCUGUAGCAAGGUUAACCGCAUAGGGGAGCCGUAGGGAAACCGAGUCUUAACUGGGCGUUAAGUUGCAGGGUAUAGACCCGAAACCCGGUGAUCUAGCCAUGAGCAGGUUGAAG